AUGCAAUUGAUGAUCAAAUACCCUACAUAUGCCCACCCCCCUCUGGGGCUUGACAUUGAUAGGUGCAAUUAUAUGCAGGUUUUUUUUGUAUUCUCAUGUAAUGUACCACAAAGUAUCAGCAGCAUGUUAUUGUGGGACCUUUGAUCAAUAUGUAUAUAAAUAGACAUAUUUUUGUUUUAUUGUUUCAUUAAUUUUAAUGAAAAAUAAAAAUUACUCACAAAGUUGGUCAAGUGAAUGUACAAACUAUUUAUUUCUUCAUUUAGUACAGCACAUGUUACAAUUAUGUACUUGUCUUAAUUGCAUGAGUGUGCAUGACAGACUUUUUUUAUUUUAAUUGUGCACACCCACUUAUGAUUAACCUAGUUUUUGU
Molecule: non-coding RNA, 370 nt
Organism: Paramuricea clavata
Lineage: Eukaryota; Metazoa; Cnidaria; Anthozoa; Malacalcyonacea; Plexauridae
Source: the annotation of a GenBank genome assembly